RNAcentral lists this ribosomal RNA (495 nucleotides) under uncultured bacterium. Its description in RNAcentral is "partial 16S ribosomal RNA". It matches the Rfam family "Bacterial small subunit ribosomal RNA", at positions 28 to 505 of the family's 1533-position model. The record is from RNAcentral.
GAUGAACGCUGGCGGCGUGCCUAAUACAUGCAAGUCGAGCGAACAGACGAGGAGCUUGCUCCUCUGACGUUAGCGGCGGACGGGUGAGUAACACGUGGAUAACCUACCUAUAAGACUGGGAUAACUUCGGGAAACCGGGGCUAAUACCGGAUAAUAUAUUGAACCGCAUGGUUCAAUAGUGAAAGACGGUUUUGCUGUCACUUAUAGAUGGAUCCGCGCCGCAUUAGCUAGUUGGUAAGGUAACGGCUUACCAAGGCAACGAUGCGUAGCCGACCUGAGAGGGUGAUCGGCCACACUGGAACUGAGACACGGUCCAGACUCCUACGGGAGGCAGCAGUAGGGAAUCUUCCGCAAUGGGCGAAAGCCUGACGGAGCAACGCCGCGUGAGUGAUGAAGGUCUUCGGAUCGUAAAACUCUGUUAUUAGGGAAGAACAAAUGUGUAAGUAACUAUGCACGUCUUGACGGUACCUAAUCAGAAAGCCACGGCUAACUACG